This 303-nucleotide ribosomal RNA is filed under the name uncultured bacterium. RNAcentral's name for it is "partial 16S ribosomal RNA". It matches the Rfam family "Bacterial small subunit ribosomal RNA", at positions 507 to 807 of the family's 1533-position model. The record is from RNAcentral.
AGCAGUCGCCGCGGGAAUACGUAGGUGGCAAGCGUUGUCCGGAAUUAUUGGGCGUAAAGGGCUCGCAGGCGGUUUCUUAAGUCUGAUGUGAAAGCCCCCGGCUCAACCGGGGAGGGUCAUUGGAAACUGGGAAACUUGAGUGCAGAAGAGGAGAAUGGAAUUCCACGUGUAGCGGUGAAAUGCGUAGAGAUGUGGAGGAACACCAGUGGCGAAGGCGACUCUCUGGUCUGUAACUGACGCUGAGGAGCGAAAGCGUGGGGAGCGAACAGGAUUAGAUACCCCCGUAGUCCCUGUCUCUUAUAC